AGAGAAUACCAAGGCGCUUGAGAGAACUCGGGUGAAGGAACUAGGCAAAAUGGCACCGUAACUUCGGGAGAAGGUGCGCCGGUUAGGGUGAAGGACUUGCUCCGUAAGCUCUGGCCGGUCGAAGAUACCAGGUGGCUGCGACUGUUUAUUAAAAACACAGCACUCUGCAAACACGAAAGUGGACGUAUAGGGUGUGACGCCUGCCCGGUGCCGGAAGGUUAAUUGAUGGGGUUAUCUUCGGAGAAGCUCUUGAUCGAAGCCCCGGUAAACGGCGGCCGUAACUAUAACGGUCCUAAGGUAGCGAAAUUCCUUGUCGGGUAAGUUCCGACCUGCACGAAUGGCGUAACGAUGGCCACACUGUCUCCACCCGAGACUCAGUGAAAUUGAAAUUGCGGUUAAGAUGCCGUAUACCCGCGGCUAGACGGAAAGACCCCGUGAACCUUUACUAUAGCUUCACAGUGAACUUUGAAUUGUCUUGUGUAGGAUAGCUGGGAGGCUUUGAAGCGAGGACGCCAGUCCUUGUGGAGCCAAUCUUGAAAUACCAGCCUGGUCAAUUUGGGGUUCUAACUCUGGUCCAUUAUCUGGAUCGAGGACACUGUGUGGUGGGUAGUUUGACUGGGGCGGUCUCCUCCCAAAGAGUAACGGAGGAGCACGAAGGUCGGCUAAUCUUGGUCGGACAUCAAGAGGUUAGUGCAAUGGCAUAAGCCGGCUUAACUGCGAGACAGACACGUCGAGCAGGUACGAAAGUAGGUCAUAGUGAUCCGGUGGUUCUGUAUGGAAGGGCCAUCGCUCAACGGAUAAAAGGUACUCCGGGGAUAACAGGCUGAUACCGCCCAAGAGUUCACAUCGACGGCGGUGUUUGGCACCUCGAUGUCGGCUCAUCACAUCCUGGGGCUGAAGCCGGUCCCAAGGGUAUGGCUGUUCGCCAUUUAAAGUGGUACGCGAGCUGGGUUUAGAACGUCGUGAGACAGUUCGGUCCCUAUCUGCCGUGGGCGUUUGAGAUUUGAGAAGAGCUGCUCCUAGUACGAGAGGACCGGAGUGGACGAACCUCUGGUGUUCCGGUUGUCACGCCCGUGGCAUUGCCGGGUAGCUACGUUCGGACAGGAUAACCGCUGAAAGCAUCUAAGCGGGAAGCCCCCUUCAAGAUGAGAUCUCACUGACUCCUUGAGAGUCCUGUAGGGCCCUUGAAGACUACAAGGUUGAUAGGUCAGGUGUGUAAGCGUUGUGAGGCGUUGAGCUAACUGAUACUAAUUGCCCGUGAGGCUUGACCAUAUAACACCCAA
This 1283-nucleotide ribosomal RNA is filed under the name Thalassolituus oleivorans 4BN06-13. RNAcentral describes it as "partial 23S ribosomal RNA". It matches the Rfam family "Bacterial large subunit ribosomal RNA", at positions 1673 to 2925 of the family's 2925-position model. The record is from RNAcentral. Lineage: Bacteria; Pseudomonadati; Pseudomonadota; Gammaproteobacteria; Oceanospirillales; Oceanospirillaceae.